UACGGGGGGAGCAAGCGUUGUUCGGAUUUACUGGGCGUAAAGGGCGUGUAGGCGGUUGCGUAAGUGGAAUGUGAAAUCCCCCGGCUUACCCGGGGACCUGCAUCCCAAACUGCGCGACUUGAGUAUGGGAGAGGAUGAGGGAAUUCCUGGUGUAGCGGUGAAAUGCGUAGAUAUCAGGAGGAACACCGGUGGCGAAGGCGCUCAUCUGGCCCAAUACUGACGCUGAGGCGCGAAAGCUAGGGUAGCGAACGGG
RNAcentral lists this ribosomal RNA (253 nucleotides) under uncultured bacterium. RNAcentral's name for it is "partial 16S ribosomal RNA". It matches the Rfam family "Bacterial small subunit ribosomal RNA", at positions 524 to 776 of the family's 1533-position model. The record is from RNAcentral.